Molecule: ribosomal RNA, 440 nt
Filed under: uncultured bacterium
Lineage: Bacteria
Description: partial 16S ribosomal RNA
Rfam family: Bacterial small subunit ribosomal RNA
Source: RNAcentral
CCUACGGGAGGCAGCAGUAGGGAAUAUUGCACAAUGGGGGAAACCCUGAUGCAGCAACGCCGCGUGGGGGAAGAAGGUUUUCGGAAUGUAAAGCCCUUUCAGUAGGGAAGAUAAUGACGGUAUCUAACGAAUAAGCACCGGCUAACUCCGUGCCAGCAGCCGCGGUAAUACGUAGGGUGCAAGCGUUAUCCGGAUUUACUGGGUGUAAAGAGCGCGCAGACGGGUGAGCAAGUCAGGUGUGAAAGGCGAGGGCUCAACCAUCGAACUGCAUUUGAAACUGUUAUGCUGGAGUGUAGGAGAGGUAGGCGGAAUUCUUGGUGUAGCGGUGAAAUGCGUAGAGAUUAAGAGGAAUACUCAUGGCGAAGGCGACUUGCUGGAACGCAACUGACGCUGAGGCGCGAAAGCGUGGGGAGCAAACAGGAUUAGAUACCCGGGUAGUC